Molecule: long non-coding RNA, 4118 nt
Filed under: Homo sapiens (human)
Lineage: Eukaryota; Metazoa; Chordata; Mammalia; Primates; Hominidae
Description: HSALNT0001243
Source: RNAcentral
UUGUGAAAUGUUUGCAUGGGGAGUUGCAUGUUUAUUGAGUUUUGUACUUUUCUUGAUAUUAAUUUUCCUCAAAUGCUUCGCAAUUUAAAUUUUGGGCUCAUAUUUCAAAAUUCCUAUUCUCCUGUCUGUUGAACCAGGUUCUGAUGACAUGAGUUUGCCUCUGAUAACCACAGCAGAGGAAACACAGGGCAGUGUGAGGAAGGCUGAGUCCUCUCAGUCAGGAGGGCCUUUCUAGCCCACCUAGAAAUAGUGCAGAUUUCUUGCUACCCAGGGUCUUGCUGUGCCUCUUGUCACCAGUGCUCUGGCCUGUGUGCACAUACUCACUGUGACACAGUUUAGCAUGAGAGAGGUGGGGAAGGGGGCGAAGGCAGCUGGCUGAUCCUCCAAAAGCCCCCAGAUAAUCACCCUGACUCCUGCCCCAGGGCUCCUUCCUGUUCCCUAUUUCCAUAAAGGGCAGAGCUUUCUCAGAACUCACAGCCACCUUCACAGAAGUCAUCUCCUAUAGAUUUUUUUGUUUGUUUGUUUUUUGAGACGGAGUCUCACUCUGUCCCCCAGGCUGGAGUGCAGUGGCAAGAUUUCGGCUCACUGAAACCUCCGCCUCCUGGGUUCAGCAAUUUUCCUGCCUCAGCCUCCCGAGUAGCUGGAACUACAGGUUUGUGGACUCUUACAAAAGGAACAGUCGAAUUGAUUCAGCAUCAGCUAAGCAUGGAAGAAAAAAAAAUAUGUAACUGUGAAAACAAAAACAAAACAGAUUUCUGGCUGCUGUCCUCAGAAGCCUCCCGCACAGACGAUGUUCCUGACAGGAUCAACAAACGUCGCAUUUCACUGUCCCACAGUGCAGCUUCGUCCAUCAGCCACUGACUGGCAUGGGCCAGGAGCAGUGUUGGUCUCGGUGACAGUGACUUCCUUGCCCUGCUCUGAAUGAGUGUCCUUUCUGUGAAAGUAGGUCUCAUGGUUCUAGGGCUGAUCCCAGCGCCAUCCCACAACAUUUCAGUGUGCCCGACAGCGUGCCUGGCAAGCAGCGAGCUCCUGACAAUUGGAAGCUGCUAAUGCUGUUACAGACAUCUGCAAGCAAGUCAGAUCAGCCAGCUUCCAUCACGUGAGACACCUUGGAGGACAAAGCCACAUUGUGUGGAGGAAAACACACCACCAUUCAGGCCCAUCGUCAUCCUGCUUUCUCCUAUACUCAGUCUCCCACAGUGCCAGGUAGUUUUCUGCCUGUACUAAGAAGGGUGAAUGGAAAGGUGAGAUGUAAAAACAAACAAACAAACAAGGGCUCGAAAUGUCUAUGGGAAGAUAAAAUUGUAGCAGUGCUUUAGAAAACAAGAAGCGCAUGAUUAAAUGGACUGUUGUUUUCUUUAGAAUGCGGGUAUUAUCAUUGGUAUUGAGGUGACGCAUUAGGACUUUGAGGUGCCUCCCCCACCCUGGCCUCUGCGCUGGCAGUGAGAACCCAGCCCGUGCUAUCUUCACAGUUCUCAGCCCAUGGAAGCACAGGCCACCUGGGCUCCUGCAAACACCAGACGUGUAAUUAGAGGCUCCUGGGCUGGGAUGAUGUGGUGUGCAGACAAGUCUUAUCACGCGUCUGAGCCGCUGUGGGUGCCUGGAGUUGCCUCUGCAGCCCGGAGCGGAUGAGCGGAGGCUCCCGUGACUCACCCAACUGCAGGAACUGUCAACUGGCUUCUGCCCAGCCAAGAACUUUUAUCAAUCACUAAGUAGAGACACUGUGUACAAGGACACCGGUUCAUCCAAGAACAUCAGGACAGCCAGGAAUUCAAAACACAAAACACAGCUUCCUGCAUGUUGCACCCCAGGCGGCUCUGAGGCUCAGCCCAAGGAAGGUUUGGGGCUCGGGCCAGAAAGACACGAUUCACUCUGACUUACACAAGAGGGGAGUGUACAAAAGUCAUGCAGUCUCAGGGGAAGGCACUGGGCUAAACCCUCAUGACUGUAAAAUGAAGAAAUAGGCAUGAAGCAUGACUAGGGUGUUUAUUUGACGAGGACCCAGAGUUAUGUCCAAGGAAUGAAGGCGUUGCCUUUCUACAACAGAGCAAAAUGUCAAGUUAACUGAUAACAUGUACAUUCCUCAGGACUGGUCCCUCAGUGAGACAGCGUUUUUAGCGGGGAAAAAAAGAACAAAUAUAAGUGUUUUCCUGGAUGCUGUUUUAGGGAGCUUGCUACAGGUUUACUUGCUUGCGGUUCCUGGUAGGUUUCAGGAUUCCCAGGGUGAGAGGUGAUGGGCCAAAGAGAGGCACGCUAAACUGAUAGCCUGAGAUCACAGCUUCCUUCCUUCCUUUCCUUCCUCCCUUCCUUCCUUUUCUUUUUUUUUUUUUGAGAUGGAGUCUUGUUCUGUGGCCCAGGCUAGAGUGCAGUGGCGCGAUCUUGGUUCACUGCGAACUCCGCCUCACGAGUUCAACUGCCUCAGCCUCCGAGUAGGUGGGAUUACAGGCGCCCACCACUGCGCCCGGCUGAUUUUUGUAUUUUUAGUAGAGACGGGGUUUCACCAUCUUGGCCAGGCUGGUCUCAAGAUCCACCCGCCUCAGCCUCCCAAAGUGCUGGGAUUACAGGCGUAAGCCACCGUGCCUGGCCUUCUUUUUCUUUUUCUUUUUUUUUUGAGACGGAGUCUUGCUCUGCUGCCCAGGCUAGAAUGCAGUAGUGCGAUCUCCGCUCACUGCAAACUUCGCCUCCCAGGUUCAAGCCAUUCUCCUGCCUCAGCCUCCUGAGUAGCUGGGAUUACAGGCAUGCACUACCAUGCUCGGCUAAUUUUUGUAUUUUUAGUAGACGGGAUUUCACCAUGUUGGUCAGGCUGGUCUCGAACUCCUAACCUCAAGUAAUCUGCCCACCUUGGCUUCCCAAAGUGCAGGGAUUACAGGCAUGAGCCACCAUGCCCAGCCCCCACAGCUCUCUCUCUAAGACAAGUGCAAACUAGUACCUGGAAAGGAGUCCUUUCUUUCCAUUCCCGAGCCCCCUCCCCACACCAAAACCCCACCUGCUGCCAUGUGGCGGGGACGCUGAGGAACACUGACUAUCACAGAGCUGCCUUAAUGUAAAUGAUUUCCUCAGGUGCAGAAAAACAUACACACCAAGUAUGGUUUGCCACUCUGAAUUCUGGACAGAUAACAUGACGGCAGAAGUAAGCUUGUUUAAACACGCUCUAGUAAUAGCUUCUUAGUGGCUGAGGUUAAAGCAUAGUGAAAUUUGAUACAUUCAGGUGAAAAGCAAACAUGAAAAUUUGCAUCCUCCCAGCAAUCAAAUUACAUUAGACAUGGCUAAAUCAUGAUUUCAUGUAGUUAACAAGCAGUGAAGGGUGAGGCCAACCAAGUUCAGACAAAUUGAACCUUCUACCCAAUUCUACUCUCCUCUCCUCCUUUCUCCGAAUAAAACCCAAUACUCCUCUUUAACAAGUUGUAUGAUUCACAUGCCGAGAGGAAAAGGGCCAGGUUGUUUGUCAAUUGAUCUAGUCUAAAGAAAACAAGUCCUUGACUGUAUUUUAGUUUGAACAAAACUUAUUUUCCUAAGGAUAAGAAUACCUCGAAACUCUAGUACUAAGUUAGAAAUUCACACUAUGCCUCCUGGCUUGUCACGCACUUCCAAUUUGAAAAUAUGGAACCUCAAGGCUGUAGAUAUUUGAGGCCCUUAAGAGAAAAACAAUUCAUGUUUUUUUGUGUGUGUGUUUUUUUUUUUUUUUUGAGACAGAGUCUGGCUCUGUCGCCCAGGCUGUAGUGCAGUGGUGUGAUCUCGGCUCAGUGCAACCUCCACCUCCUGGGUUCAAGCAGUUCUCCCUCCUCAGCCUCCCGAGUAGCUGGGACUACAGGCACACGCCACCAUGCCUGGCUAAUUUUUGUAUUUUUAGUAGAGAUGGGGGUUUCACUAUGCUGGCCAGGCUGGUCUCGAACUCCUGACCUCGUGAUCUGCCCGCCUCAGCCUCCCAAAGUGCUGGGAUUACAGACGUGAGCCACCGUGCCCGGCCAUGAAUUCUUAAAAGUGUAAAGGACUGUUUUUAUUAGAGCAAAUGCAAAUUAACCUUGCAGGAAACCAUGGCAGAUCAAAGUUAACAUGCCUUAAUUUUAUCUUUUCAAUGACAAUGGCCAUAAUGCAUUAUUUACAUGACUCUCUCUCUC